AAGUUGCGCCCCAAGCCGCUAGGCCGAGGGCACGCUCUGCCUGGGUGUCACGCAUCGUUGCCCCACACCUCCCCCGUUGUCUUCUUCGGGGCGUGGCGGUGAGGGCGGAUAUUGGCCUCCCGUGCGCUCUUGGCGCGCGGUUGGCCUAAAUUUCAGUCCCUGGCGAAUGGCGCCGCGGCGAUCGGUGGUGUUGAAAGACCUCUCGAGAACACGUCGCGCGUCGCCCGUCGGGACUCGCGGACCCUAGCGCUUAGCGCUCGCUUCGCGACCCCAGGUCAGGCGGGACUACCCGCUGAGUUUAAGCGUAUCAAUAAGCGGAGGAAAAGAAACUUACCAAG
Molecule: ribosomal RNA, 338 nt
Filed under: Galipea jasminiflora
Lineage: Eukaryota; Viridiplantae; Streptophyta; Magnoliopsida; Sapindales; Rutaceae
Description: eukaryotic LSU rRNA
Rfam family: Eukaryotic large subunit ribosomal RNA (bases 266-338)
Source: RNAcentral